This 493-nucleotide unclassified non-coding RNA is filed under the name Hevea brasiliensis (rubber tree). Lineage: Eukaryota; Viridiplantae; Streptophyta; Magnoliopsida; Malpighiales; Euphorbiaceae. The record is from RNAcentral.
GAAAAUUGAAUUAGCUCCCCUUUUAGCAAAUCGAAGCAUAAUGUACAUUAGCACCUAGUAAGAAUUAAACUGAACAUAAACAUUGACAAUAUCAAACAAAAUUAUUCUCUUAGCAACUGUGCCUAUGAAUGCUUCCACACUGAUAUUGACAAUAUGAAGUUUGGAUCUCCUUUCAAACUCCACCUACUUUGUAUCCUAACUCUCAUAAAAUGGAAGCUCUGAUAAGGCGCCGAAGAAACUUAGGUAGAUGAUAGAAGAUACAAUAUACAUGUCUCGCUCAAUUAAGCAUUCGGAAGCUUGUACUCCAGCAUCUCCCUUACGUUUAACCGAAUGGAUGGCCCCAUCGACGAGCAUACAUGUGCACUCUUCCAAUAAACUCCUUUAGCACCUGAUGGUUUGUUUGCUUCCACCGAUUUCACUGCUGCAAUGAAGUUUAUGAUAAGAUCUUCUUCCGAGAAAUUUGCUUUUCCAAAUGGCAAGUGAACAAUUCCAG